RNAcentral lists this unclassified non-coding RNA (370 nucleotides) under uncultured Gammaproteobacteria bacterium. RNAcentral describes it as "contains 16S-23S intergenic spacer region". The record is from RNAcentral. Lineage: Bacteria; Pseudomonadati; Pseudomonadota; Gammaproteobacteria.
UCCGGUUUGUCACCGGCAGUCUCACUAGAGUGCCCUUGCGUAGCAACUAAUGAUAAGGGUUGCGCUCGUUGCGGGACUUAACCCAACAUCUCACGACACGAGCUGACGACGGCCAUGCAGCACCUGUGUUCUAGCUCUCUUUCGAGCACGAAUCCAUCUCUGGAAACUUCUAGACAUGUCAAGGGUAGGUAAGGUUUUUCGCGUUGCAUCGAAUUAAACCACAUCAUCCACCGCUUGUGCGGGCCCCCGUCAAUUCCUUUGAGUUUCACCGUUGCCGGCGUACUCCCCAGGUGGAUUACUUAUCGCUUUCGCUAAGCCACUAAAAGUUGCCUUCUAGCAGCGAGUAAUCAUCGUUUACAGUGCGGACUAC